UCCCCCGCCUGCCCUUCAGUCACCCCGGGCUCAGCCCACUCCCAACUCUGUGAGGGACCCGCUGCCCCUUGUAUCGGUCUCUCUGUGGCCGCGCCUCAUUUCUCUGUAGGCCCAGCUGCCGAGACGCUGCAGCCUUCGCAGCGCGCUCUCCCUGCGCCCUGGCGCCAGCCGGCAGCACUUUGCCGGGGAACUUGAGGUGUCCUUUCCCACCCCGCAGGGCUAUUGCUCGCACCCGGCGGUGGGAUAGGGAGAGAAGGGAGGGAAGUGGGUUCGCCUUGCCGAUUGGCCCAGGAGCAGUGAGGAGCAUGCUGGGAUGUGUAGUUCCCGGUAUGCGCAUGCGCUAAGGGAAGCCCUCGGGCAGGCUGCAGGAUAGGUUGGGCAGCAUGCUGCAGCGGCAGCUGGGUUACACCAGAGCUCCCGGGGGAGGGCCGGUGCUACCAUUAAGGUAAACUAGGUGGUUGUCUAGGGCCCCAAGAUUUGGGGGCGCCAAAAAGUGAUGCCCCCAAUUUUUUUUUACAGCGUUCCUGGGCUGGGCUGCCGGUGGUGCACUGAUAUGUGCGGCUCAGACGCCCUCUCCCAGCGCAGCGGCCGCUCCAUGCAAUUAUUAUCAUUGCCGGCGGGGGCGCUGGCGGCUGGGCAGAGCUCCACAGCUCCGCUUAAAGCACGUGGCACGUGGCUCCGCUUAAAGAGCCCGGCGACAGGUGUAGCAGCAGGGCUUCGUGAGGAAACGGGCGGCAGCCUCCUGGCUCAGCCUCUACGGUCAGCCCCAGCGGGGGGGCACAGAAAACAAAAGAGCCUCAGGCAGCGGUCCAGUGGAGGAAGAAAGAGGACCCCGACGCCCAUGCGUUGGGCAAGUUGAUGCAGCCUCAUGGCGGAUAAAAAAAAAUUGUCUGGGUCACAAUUUCGUAAGCGGAAGGCUGAUAAGCAAAAAGAAGAAAGAAAGCAAGAAGGUUCGUUUCUGAAAUAUCUCCAUCCACUGGCCAGAGAUGAGGGUAGUUCAAUGCCAAAGGAUCAAGCAGAGAUGGAGAUGGGGAUGUGAGCUUCACAAGUUGAAGAAGAGUUUGAAGAAUGUAAUCUGAAUAUUGAAGACGAAUCAAAUGAGACAUGCAAGGAUCAAAACUUGGAAGACCGUGAAAGCGAAAAUGUCACUCGUUUGAAUUUGAGCUUUAGUGAUUCUGCUACUUGGGCCAAAUGCAAUGAUCAAGUCCGACAAAUUCUGGUGGAUCAUGGGCCGGAACAAGUUCAGCAGUUCGAUUUUCCCAAAGAUAGUAAGCAAAGAAAAUUCUUGACAAUUCAUUACAAACGUAGACCUGUUAAUGGAGAAGAAAUGCACCGUCAGUGGCUGCAGUAUUCCACAUCAAGUGAUUCUGUCUUUUGCUUCUGCUGCAAGUUGUUUGGCAGUAGUACUAUUGACACAUCAUCUCUUUCUGAAAAAGGCACAAGGGAAAAACAUGUCUGCAAUUCUUUCACGGCACAAGAAAAGCAGUGAACAUUUGACGAAUGUUCAAACAUGGAAGGAACUUGAACUGCAAUUGAAAUACAAGAGAACAUUUGAUUAAGAACAUUUGCGCUUGAUUAAGCAAGAAGAAAAGUAUUGGCAGCAAAUACUAAAACGUCUGAUUGCUUUGGUCAGAGUUCUUGGUGUGCAAAACCUGGCCUUUCAGGGAACACAUGAAAAACUGCACACUUCUGGUAAUGGGAACUUCCUCAAAUUGGUCGAAUAUCUAGCUUUGUUUGACCCACUUAUGGAUGAGCAUCUUCACAGGAUUAAGGACCAGGAGAUGCAUGUACAUUAGCUAGGGAAAGACAUACAGAAUGAGCUUAUUCAGCUUCUAGCCAAUGCCAUCAAACAAAAAAUCCUAGCAUCUGCUCGUGCUGCAAAAUACUUUUCAAUCAUUCUAGAUUGUACACCAGAUGCAGACCACGUUGAACAAAUGAUCAUUUGGUUUGUGGAUAGGCCUACUUCAGAGACCGAGAAUGAGACUGAAUCAGUAUGCAUAAAGGAACACUUCUUGGGAUUUGUGUCGCUUACCGAGACAACUGGAGCUGGUAUGACAGAAACUAUUCUUCACCAGUUAGAAGAGAUGUCACUGCCUAUAGAAAACUUGCGUGGUCAAGGCUAUGACAAUGGGAGCAAUAUGAAAGGGAAAGAAAAUGGUGUCCAGCGAAGAAUUUUGGAUAUUAAUCCACGAGCCUUUUUCGUUCCUUGCAGUGCACAUUCAUUGAAUUUGGUUGUUAAUGAUGCUGUGAAGUGUUGCUUGGAGGCAACCGCCUAUUUGAUUUAGUUCAACGUGUGUAUGUGUAUUUCUCAGCUUCUACACAUCGCUGGGAAGUUCUAACACGCCACAUAUCUAAUCUCACAGUUAAACCAUUGAGUGAAACAAGAUGGGAAAGUCGAAUCGAUGCCUUGAAACCUUUUCGCUAUCAGCUUGGUGACAUCUAUGAUGCUCUGAUAGACAUCUAUGAAGACACUACUCUAACAGGAUCAUCUGGCAAUACGUCACGAGUUGAUGCAAAGGCUCUUACAAAAGCCAUUUCUAGUUUCAAGUUUCUUGUUUCUCUUGUUUUGUGGUAUGACAUAUUGUUUGAGAUCAACAUGACUAGCAAACAACUUCAGGCAAAAGAAUUCGCAUAUGUGAUGCCAUUAAUCAACUUGGAGAAACCAAGAAGUUUCUUGUGGGCCGCAGAAGUGACGCAGCCUUUGAGAAAACAUUGGUAGAUGCAGGUGAAUUUGCGGAAGAGUUGGAUGUACCGGCACUUUUUGAACCAGAUCCAAUCCGUAUUAGAAAGAAGAGGAAGCAGUUCACAUAUGAAGCAGAUGAUGAACCUAUUUAUAAUCCGAAAGAAAAAUUCAAAGUGAACUUUUACUUUGCAGUCAUUGACACAGCAAUACAUUCGGUGAAGAAAGAUUCACAUUGAUGCAGCAAAUUAGUUCAGUAUUUGCUUCAUAUAUGAUGUUUACAGUUUGCAAAAUAAAACACCAAAGCAAAUUAUGGAACAUUGCUUGAAUCUGGAGCAAGCUUUGCAACAUGGUGAAUCCAAAGAUAUUGAUGCCUUUGACUUGUGCAAUGAAUUGCAAGCUAUUGCAAGACGAGUCCAAAGGAGUUCAUCACCGCAAGAUGUAUUGAACUUAAUAUGGGAAAAUAAGCUGGCAGAUAGUGUCCCUAACACAGUUAUUGCUCUUCACAUCCUCUUGACUCUCCCAGUUUCUGUGGCCAGUGGUGAGCGAAGCUUCUCUAAGCUCAAGUUGAUAAAAACAUACUUGCGAACAUCAAUGUUGCAACAAAGACUUGUUGGGCUAUCUAUCUUGUCAAUAGAACAUGACAUUGCUCACAGCAUUGACGUGGAGGAACUUGUUUCUAAAUUUGCUAAACUUAAAGCACGGAAACAUAAAUUCUAAAUUAUAACGUUA
This is a long non-coding RNA of Chrysemys picta bellii (western painted turtle), 3412 nucleotides long. RefSeq lists it as uncharacterized. The record is from RefSeq and is a predicted model, not a curated record. NCBI's taxonomy places the organism in Eukaryota, Metazoa, Chordata, Testudines, Emydidae.